UUAAUUUGACUCAACACGGGGAAACUUACCAGGUCCAGACAUAGUAAGGAUUGACAGACUGAGAGCUCUUUCUUUUUUUUUGAUCAAAUGUAAAAAUAUAAAUCAAAAAAAGUCGUAGACA
This 121-nucleotide non-coding RNA is filed under the name Erythranthe guttata (spotted monkey flower). RNAcentral describes it as "Mimulus guttatus (spotted monkey flower) Eukaryotic small subunit ribosomal RNA". It matches the Rfam family "Eukaryotic small subunit ribosomal RNA", at positions 1190 to 1479 of the family's 1831-position model. Lineage: Eukaryota; Viridiplantae; Streptophyta; Magnoliopsida; Lamiales; Phrymaceae. The record is from Rfam by way of RNAcentral.